CCUACGGGGGGCAGCAGUGAGGAAUAUUGGUCAAUGGACGAGAGUCUGAACCAGCCAAGUAGCGUGAAGGAUGACUGCCCUAUGGGUUGUAAACUUCUUUUAUAUGGGAAUAAAAUGUUCCACGUGUGGGGUUUUGUAUGUACCAUAUGAAUAAGGAUCGGCUAACUCCGUGCCAGCAGCCGCGGUAAUACGGAGGAUCCGAGCGUUAUCCGGAUUUAUUGGGUUUAAAGGGAGCGUAGGUGGAUUGUUAAGUCUGUUGUGAAAGGUUGCGGCUAAACCGUAAAAUUGCAGUUGAAACUGGCAGUCGUGAGUACGGUAGAGGUAGGCGGAAUUCGUGGUGUAGCGGUGAAAUGCGUAGAUAUAUGGAAGAACACCAGUGGCGAAGGCGGCCGCCUGGCGUGUUGCUGACGCUGAGGCACGAAGGCGUGGGGAGCAAAUAGGAUUAGAUACCCUGGUAGUC
Molecule: ribosomal RNA, 460 nt
Filed under: uncultured bacterium
Lineage: Bacteria
Description: partial 16S ribosomal RNA
Rfam family: Bacterial small subunit ribosomal RNA
Source: RNAcentral